RNAcentral lists this ribosomal RNA (926 nucleotides) under Arcyria nigella. Its description in RNAcentral is "partial 18S ribosomal RNA". It matches the Rfam family "Eukaryotic small subunit ribosomal RNA", at positions 408 to 1137 of the family's 1831-position model. Lineage: Eukaryota; Evosea; Eumycetozoa; Trichiida; Trichiidae. The record is from RNAcentral.
GUACAUAUUUUAGGAAAAGCAACCCGGGUCGUAAUUACCCAAUCCGUCACCAGGGAGGUAUGAGAGGAAUAACUGGGGGGGUGGAUAAGCCGGUGGAAUUUCUUUACGCCUUUAGGGGUUGGGGGAGGAUUGCCCUUCCACAUGUAUCCAACGGAGCAGAGGGAUAACGCCUUUUUCACGGAACAUAUGGAGGGCAAAUCUGGUGCCCCCAAGCCGGGAAAAAUUCCAGUUCCAAAACUGUACAUAAAAGUUGGUGCAGAUAAAAAAGCCCGGUAGUUGGACCUUUUUUGGGGGGUUUGGGGGGGAUCUUAAUUUUUUAUGGGUGUUUCUUUCAGAUCUCUUUGCAUGGGGAGGGCGGUGUGACGCAAGGUGUGCCCCCUUAUGCCAAGCCUAUAAAUUUUUUUUACUGUGAAGAAAUUACAGUGCUCAAGACAGGUUAAUGCCUUGAAUACAUCAGCAUGGAAUAAGUGAACAAGACUUGGUUUGUCGUCAGCGUUUUUUUUGGGAGAAAAAGAAAUGCGCUGCAGGGGGUGCCCGGCUUUUUACGAGUCGGCCCAGCCAUCCUAAACAGGAUAUGCAUCCCGAACGACCCAGUAAUGAUUAAAAGGAGCAGUUGGGGACAUUGGUAUUUUGUAGUCAGAGGUGAUAUUCUUGGAUUUACAAGAGACCAGCUAAAGCGAAAGCAUUUGUCAAGGAUGUUUUCAUUAAUCAAGAGCGAAAGUUAGGGUAGCGAAAAUGAUUAGAUACCAUUGUAGUCCUAACCGGAAACGAUGCCGACUGGGGAUGCGUCGUGCGGUUUUUUAUGGGUUUCUUGCAAAAAAAACAAACGUUUUUAAAAAUGCGGGUGUUGUUUCUUGAAACUCUAUCCUCCCGACGCCGCCUUUAGAGAAAUCAAAGUCUUGGUCCGGGGGGAGAUGCGCUAAGUG